Molecule: ribosomal RNA, 301 nt
Filed under: uncultured bacterium
Lineage: Bacteria
Description: partial 16S ribosomal RNA
Rfam family: Bacterial small subunit ribosomal RNA
Source: RNAcentral
CAGUAGCCACGGGAAUACGAAGGGUGCAAGCGUUACUCGGAAUUACUGGGCGUAAAGCGUGCGUAGGUGGUGGUUUAAGUCCGUUGUGAAAGCCCUGGGCUCAACCUGGGAAUUGCAGUGGAUACUGGGUCACUAGAGUGUGGUAGAGGAUAGUGGAAUUUCCGGUGUAGCAGUGAAAUGCGUAGAGAUCGGAAGGAACAUCUGUGGCGAAGGCGACUAUCUGGGCCAACACUGACACUGAGGCACGAAAGCGUGGGGAGCAAACAGGAUUAGAGACCCGUGUAGUCCCUGUCUCUUAUAC